Long non-coding RNA from Macadamia integrifolia, 1146 nucleotides. RefSeq lists it as uncharacterized. The transcript has 2 exons. Lineage: Eukaryota; Viridiplantae; Streptophyta; Magnoliopsida; Proteales; Proteaceae. The record is from RefSeq and is a predicted model, not a curated record.
GAGUUUUUGCAUUUGAUUUCCUCAUUGAGUUUCAAUUUGUUUUGGCUAAAUCAGGAACAGUAGAUGGAGUCGUACAAGGUAGACCAUCAGUUCUAAGCCCUAGAGCUAUAUCAUUUCACAUCAUAUGCACUGAUGAAGAUCAAGGGGAAGCAUUAAUAGUCAUCAAGGAGAACUCAUAUAUGUCGUCACAUGCCCCUAAAUGCAUCAAAGAAAUUUUAGAAAUGGUAAUACGACCUACAAUAAGGAAAAUGCAAAACAAAUUCUUGUGCCCAGUAGCCAAUAACCCUAAUUAUAGAAUUACUACUUGCGUUUUGCAUUCUACAGACUAUUGGGGAAUAUCAAUUUUGGACACAGGACAAGCGAUGCAAUUCACCACAUCAAAUGGUGAACAUCAGGGAUACAUUAUGCUCUUUAAAUUUUAUUUGGUCGACUUGCUUCACAAGUUUGGUUGAUUAGAAGCACACCGAACCUGGGAAGCAAGCGGCUAGUGAGGUCCAUCAAGCAGUAGGCAAGUUCCUCCUGUGGUUGAUCAAGAGAAUAAGCUCAAGUGCAUGACCUGCUUGGAAUCCUUGGAGGAGGAGACAACAUCCUUAAUUGCUGCAUGGACGAUGCCCUUCUUGACUCAUGCCACUGUUCAGAGCCACUGUACACCAUGUCUUCUUGUCUAGACGAGCUUAACUCAAGGGGUAGCGCAGUUGGUGAGCAACGAACUUGGUACGAGUUGUAAACUCAGAUGUCCUAAGUUUGACUCUCACUAAGCACAUCUUGGGCCACUCACAUGGGGUUGUUUAGUGUUCUUCACUGCUUUUAGUGAAAAUUGAAUGAUUCUCAUUCAACCCUGGUAUGAUCCGGUCCAUGGGGUUACGGAGUCAAUAUGAGCCUCCGGGACUAGUCAGGCCGAAGGCCUGAAUACCCGUCGUUAACCAAAAAAAAAAAAAAAAAAAAAAAAAAGGAAAAAGAAAAAACCUUGACGAGCUUGAUCAUUGAAUAUGAGAUUGGUAGAUACCCGAAUAGAUCUCAAUCAUGUAUUUUGUAAUGUAAGAGAGAGGGAGAGAGAGUUUUCUUACCUUUGAUUAUUAUUUUUGUAAAGGAUACAUUGAUAGAAAAUUUAAAGUUUCCAGAUUAUAAAAUUUCUCGUACCAAUGA